AGGGUUGUGGCUCAGUAAUAGAGCACUUGCCUAGCAUGCAUGAGAUGAGGCACUGGGUUCAAUUCCCAGCACCACAU
This 77-nucleotide transfer RNA is filed under the name Ictidomys tridecemlineatus (thirteen-lined ground squirrel). RNAcentral's name for it is "Spermophilus tridecemlineatus (thirteen-lined ground squirrel) tRNA". It matches the Rfam family "tRNA". From Rfam's summary of the family: Transfer RNA (tRNA) molecules are approximately 80 nucleotides in length. Their secondary structure includes four short double-helical elements and three loops (D, anti-codon, and T loops). Further hydrogen bonds mediate the characteristic L-shaped molecular structure. tRNAs have two regions of fundamental functional importance: the anti-codon, which is responsible for specific mRNA codon recognition, and the 3' end, to which the tRNAs corresponding amino acid is attached (by aminoacyl-tRNA synthetases). tRNAs cope with the degeneracy of the genetic code in two manners: having more than one tRNA (with a specific anti-codon) for a particular amino acid; and 'wobble' base-pairing, i.e. permitting non-standard base-pairing at the 3rd anti-codon position. Lineage: Eukaryota; Metazoa; Chordata; Mammalia; Rodentia; Sciuridae. The record is from Rfam by way of RNAcentral.